Molecule: non-coding RNA, 459 nt
Organism: Alligator mississippiensis (American alligator)
Lineage: Eukaryota; Metazoa; Chordata; Crocodylia; Alligatoridae
Source: the annotation of a RefSeq genome assembly
AUGCUGUGGCAGACUCAGCUCCUCUGGCUCCUCGUGCUCUGGGCGCAGGGCGACAGCGGGGACAUUGUUGUGACUCAGACUCCAGAGUCCCUGGCAGUGUCCUCAGGAGACACAGUCACCAUCAAGUGCAAAACCAGCUCCAGUGUUAGCAGCUACAUGGCCUUGUACCAGCAGAAACCAGGGCAGGCUCCUAAGCUCCCUCUCUACAGCACAAAUACCCGCCCCUCGGGGAUCCCCGACCGGUUCAGUGGCAGUGGGUCUGGCACUGACUUCACUUUCACCAUCAGCCGGGUUGAAGCUGGUGAUGCUGGAGAUUAUUACUGCCAGCAGCAUGAUAGUACCCCUCUCACAGUGCUACAACCCAAUACAAAACUCUCCCUGCUCGGUGCUGAAGAGACAAACCUCCUCCAGGAGUGGAGCCAGGUGGAGCGUGUUUUAGGGAGCCUGUGGGGAGACUGA